AAUCCAUAGGUUAAUGAGGCGAACCGGGGGAACUGAAACAUCUAAGUACCCCGAGGAAAAGAAAUCAACCGAGAUUCCCCCAGUAGCGGCGAGCGAACGGGGAGGAGCCCAGAGCCUGAAUCAGCAUGUGUGUUAGUGGAAGCGUCUGGAAAGGCGCGCGAUACAGGGUGACAGCCCCGUACACAAAAGCGCAUGUGCUGUGAGCUCGAUGAGUAGGGCGGGACACGUGGUAUCCUGUCUGAAUAUGGGGGGACCAUCCUCCAAGGCUAAAUACUCCUGACUGACCGAUAGUGAACCAGUACCGUGAGGGAAAGGCGAAAAGAACCCCGGCGAGGGGAGUGAAAAAGAACCUGAAACCGUGUACGUACAAGCAGUGGGAGCACAGGUUUACCUGUGUGACUGCGUACCUUUUGUAUAAUGGGUCAGCGACUUAUAUUCUGUAGCAAGGUUAACCGUAUAGGGGAGCCGCAGGGAAACC
This 478-nucleotide ribosomal RNA is filed under the name Salmonella enterica subsp. enterica serovar Agona. RNAcentral describes it as "partial 23S ribosomal RNA". It matches the Rfam family "Bacterial large subunit ribosomal RNA", at positions 161 to 678 of the family's 2925-position model. Lineage: Bacteria; Pseudomonadati; Pseudomonadota; Gammaproteobacteria; Enterobacterales; Enterobacteriaceae. The record is from RNAcentral.